RNAcentral lists this ribosomal RNA (253 nucleotides) under uncultured bacterium. RNAcentral describes it as "partial 16S ribosomal RNA". It matches the Rfam family "Bacterial small subunit ribosomal RNA", at positions 524 to 776 of the family's 1533-position model. The record is from RNAcentral.
UACGGAGGGGGCGAGCGUUAUUCGGAAUUAUUGGGCGUAAAGGGCGCGUAGGCGGCCCGGUAAGUCAAAGGUGAAAUCCCUCGGCUCAACUGAGGAACUGCCUUUGAAACUGUCGGGCUUGAGGCCGGGAGGGGUAGCGGAAUUCCCAGUGUAGCGGUGAAAUGCGUAGAUACUGGGAGGAACACCAGUGGCGAAGGCGGCUACCUGGACCAGCACUGACACUCAGGCACGGAAAGCGUGGGGAGCAAACGGG